This 580-nucleotide ribosomal RNA is filed under the name antibiotic-resistant bacterium RA8. Its description in RNAcentral is "bacterial SSU rRNA". It matches the Rfam family "Bacterial small subunit ribosomal RNA", at positions 57 to 684 of the family's 1533-position model. The record is from RNAcentral. Lineage: Bacteria; Pseudomonadati; Pseudomonadota; Alphaproteobacteria.
GCAAGUCGAACGCAUCCUUCGGGAGAGUGGCAGACGGGUGAGUAACGCGUGGGAAUCUACCCAUCCCUACGGGAUAGCUCCGGGAAACUGGAGAUAAUACCGUAUACGUCCUCCGGGAGAAAGAUUUAUCGGGGAUGGAUGAGCCCGCGUUGGAUUAGCUAGUUGGUGGGGUAAUGGCCUACCAAGGCGACGAUCCAUAGCUGGUCUAAGAGGAUGAUCAGCCACAUUGGGACUGAGACACGGCCCAAACUCCUACGGGAGGCAGCAGUGGGGAAUAUUGGACAAUGGGCGCAAGCCUGAUCCAGCCAUGCCGCGUGAGUGAUGAAGGCCCUAGGGUUGUAAAGCUCUUUCAGUGGGGACGAUAAUGACGGUACCCACAGAAGAAGCCCCGGCUAACUUCGUGCCAGCAGCCGCGGUAAUACGAAGGGGGCUAGCGUUGUUCGGAAUUACUGGGCGUAAAGCGCACGUAGGCGGACAUUUAAGUCAGGGGUGAAAUCCCGGGGCUCAACCCCGGAACUGCCUCUGAUACUGGGUGUCUUGAGUGUGGUAGAGGUGAGUGGAAUUGCGAGUGUAGAGGUGA